AGGGCUGGCAACCCAGCUGCUGACCUGGCUGCUUCUGCCAGACUGGCCCUGGAUCCAGUGGGAUGUACCAGGUGUCAGCAGGACCACAGGCACCAGGAGGACUGAGGGAGGACUGCAGCAGUCCACGUUGCUGCUCCAGUGUGUAGCCCUUCACGUCGUGAAUUUUUUUCCUCCACUCUUGGUGUUGCCAGAGGUUCCACUCAUGUCACUUUGGCAGAUUCCAGUGUCUAGUCAUCCUGUGCCCAGAAGGAUUGACCAGAAGCCUGGGCUGCAGUUUCUGACCCCUGCUACCCAAUAUAACAGACUUUGAUGGUUUACAUGGGGGUAAACCUAACUGCUAAGCUGCAAUGCAAGUUUUUCAAGCUGUGGAAGCUCUUCAGGCAACAGACAAUUUCUCAAAGUUAAAGAGCACUGUAAUGUGAAUCUUACUUAUGCGACUGUUCUAUUUUAAACAGAGUAGAGGCUCAGCAGAUCUUUUCUACAGAAUAUUCUAUUUCUAAUUCUGCUAGUUGGAACAUGCUAUAUAGAAACUCUUAAAAUGGAAAUAAAUUAUUAAAUAAAUUAAUUAAUUAUUAAAUAUUAAAUAAAUAUAUAUUAAAAUUGAAAUAAACUAUUGGAGUGUUGAAGAAUGCUUCAGUGCAACUAACAAAUUUACAAGAUGGUAACAGUGUUUAUUAUUUGUACUACAGCAUUGCCUACAGGUCCUGGCACUGUUUGGAGCAACACUGCAUGAAGACUUCUUCAAGGCCAUGCCAAAAUGUUUGUUCUCUCAGAAAUUUUAUGGUCUAAAACAUGGACAAAAAAUGAGGGAAAAUGCUUUCUCUUUCUUACUUAUGGGAAUCUGAGGCAAGCAAAGAAACAAGAUGAAUAUAUUAAAAAAUACUGGAC
This is a non-coding RNA of Phalacrocorax carbo (great cormorant), 888 nucleotides long. The record is from RefSeq and is a predicted model, not a curated record. Lineage: Eukaryota; Metazoa; Chordata; Aves; Suliformes; Phalacrocoracidae.